RNAcentral lists this transfer RNA (73 nucleotides) under Ixodes scapularis (black-legged tick). It matches the Rfam family "tRNA". From Rfam's summary of the family: Transfer RNA (tRNA) molecules are approximately 80 nucleotides in length. Their secondary structure includes four short double-helical elements and three loops (D, anti-codon, and T loops). Lineage: Eukaryota; Metazoa; Arthropoda; Arachnida; Ixodida; Ixodidae. The record is from Rfam by way of RNAcentral.
CCCUGGUUAGCUUAGUUAGUAGAGCUCUCCACUGGAAAUGAAGAGGUCCCGGAUUGGACACCCGGACCAGGCG